Molecule: ribosomal RNA, 406 nt
Filed under: uncultured bacterium
Lineage: Bacteria
Description: partial 16S ribosomal RNA
Rfam family: Bacterial small subunit ribosomal RNA
Source: RNAcentral
CUUGAACGCUGGCGGCAGGCCUAACACAUGCAAGUCGAACGAGUGGCGGACGGGUGAGUAAUGUCUGGGAAACUGCCUGAUGGAGGGGGAUAACUAAUGGAAACGGUAGCUAAUACCGCAUACCCUCAGAUGUGCCCAGAUGGGAUUAGCUUGUUGGUGGGGUAACGGUUCACAAAGGCGACGAUCCCUAGCUGGUCUGAAGGGAUGACCCGCCACACUGGAACGGAGACACGGUCCAGACGCCGACGGGCGGCAGCAGUGGGGAAGAUUGCACAAGGUGCGCAAGCCUGAUGCAGCCAUGCCGCGUGGAUGAAGAAGGCCUUCGGGUUGUAAAGUACUUUCAGCGGGGAGGCGUUACCCGCAGAAGAAGCACCUGCUAACUCCGUGCCAGCAGCCGCGGUAAUAC